Molecule: ribosomal RNA, 253 nt
Filed under: uncultured bacterium
Lineage: Bacteria
Description: partial 16S ribosomal RNA
Rfam family: Bacterial small subunit ribosomal RNA
Source: RNAcentral
UACGUAGGCAGCGAGCGUUGUUCGGAGUUACUGGGCGUAAAGAGUGCGUAGGCGGUUUUCUAAGUUUGGUGUGAAAUCUCCCGGCUCAACUGGGAGGGUGCGCCGAAGACUGGAAGGCUUGAGUAUGGGAGAGGUAAGCGGAAUUCCUGGUGUAGCGGUGAAAUGCGUAGAUAUCAGGAGGAACACCUGCGGUGUAGACGGCUCACUGGCCCGGUACUGACGCUGAGGUGCGAAAGCGUGGGGAGCAAACAGG